CCCGCACAAGCGGAGGAACAUGUGGUUUAAUUCGAUGAUACGCGAGGAACCUUACCUGGGCUUAAAUGUAGAGUGCAUUGAGAGGAAACUUUCAUUUUCUUCGGAACUCUUUACAAGGUGCUGCAUGGUUGUCGUCAGCUCGUGCCGUGAGGUGUCGGGUUAAGUCCCAUAACGAGCGCAACCCUUAUCGUUAGUUGCCAGCGGGUAAUGCCGGGAACUCUAGCGAAACUGCCGGUGUAAACCGAGAGGAAGGUGGGGAUGACGUCAAAUCAGCACGGCCCUUAUGUCCAGGGCUACACACGUGUUACAAUGGCCGGUACAGAGGGCAGCUACCUGUUGACAGGAUGCUAAUCUCGAAAACCGGUCUCAGUUCGGAUCGAAGUCUGCAACUCGACUUCGUGAAGCUGGAUUCGCUAGUAAUCGCGCAUCAGCCAUGGCGCGGUGAAUACGUUCCCGGGCCUU
This 462-nucleotide ribosomal RNA is filed under the name uncultured Sphingobacteriales bacterium. RNAcentral's name for it is "bacterial SSU rRNA". It matches the Rfam family "Bacterial small subunit ribosomal RNA", at positions 920 to 1382 of the family's 1533-position model. The record is from RNAcentral. Lineage: Bacteria; Pseudomonadati; Bacteroidota; Sphingobacteriia; Sphingobacteriales.